This 702-nucleotide long non-coding RNA is filed under the name Papio anubis (olive baboon). Its description in RNAcentral is "lncRNA (ENSPANG00000050107.1)". Lineage: Eukaryota; Metazoa; Chordata; Mammalia; Primates; Cercopithecidae. The record is from RNAcentral.
CAGAUAAGAAAUGAGAACUGUUCAUUAGAUGUAGCAAUAGGGAGGUGGUUUUUGACCCAGUGAGAGCAGUUUCUGAGGAAAGGUAUGGGCAGAAGCAGAUUACUGUCAGUUGAGAGGAAAGGGAGGUGAGGAAGCCACAGAGAAUGUGGACAGUUAUUUCAAGAACUUGGGCUCUGAGGGGGAGGAGUGGGAUAGGAGAAAUGUAUAGGGCAAGCAGGAAAAAAUGAAGAGUUGGGAGGACUUUUUAAGAAGAAAGAGACUUGAGGAUGUUUAAAAAUGGGAAGGAUUCAGUGAACAUGUUGAGGCUGAAAUGUAGAAGAGGACGGAUACAUGUUGGAAGGAAGUACCCGAGAAGGCCCAAGGUAGAAAUUCUUCUGGACUGGAAUCUUCCUCAAGGCUUACUUUGUUCCUGGGACCAGUGGUGCAUUGACUCACUCGGACCUGGCUUGCCUGGCAUGCAUUGCAACAAUAACGUGCAAGGAAGUAAAGAGAUGAGUGAAUUCAUAAGCAUACUGUAAUUUGAGAUGUCUUAUGCAAGGUAUUCUAGAAAUGCCAAGUAUCUUGUUUACAACAAACCAAAACUGAAAUGUUGGUUGUCAUGUUCACUACCACAUAGAAAAUACACAGUGAAAGACUUCCACAUUUUUAGUAAAAUAAGCAAAGGGGCAAAGGUGAUUUAUCUUGAUGAAGUUCUGUAAGGCA